GACCAGACUCCUACGGGAGGCAGCAGUGGGGAAUAUUGCACAAUGGGGGAAACCCUGAUGCAGCGACGCCGCGUGAGCGAAGAAGUAUUUCGGUAUGUAAAGCUCUAUCAGCAGGGAAGAUAAUGACGGUACCUGACUAAGAAGCCCCGGCUAACUACGUGCCAGCAGCCGCGGUAAUACGUAGGGGGCGAGCGUUAUCCGGAUUCACUGGGUGUAAAGGGAGCGUAGACGGCCAAGCAAGCCAGGGGUGAAAGCCCGGGGCCCAACCCCGGGACUGCCCUUGGAACUGCAUGGCUGGAGUGCGGGAGGGGCAGGCGGAAUUCCUGGUGUAGCGGUGAAAUGCGUAGAUAUUAGGAAGAACACCAGUGGCGAAGGCGGCUUGCUGGACAGUAACUGACGUUGAGGCUCGAAAGCGUGGGGAGCAAACAGGAUUAGAUACCCGAGUACG
RNAcentral lists this ribosomal RNA (448 nucleotides) under uncultured bacterium. RNAcentral's name for it is "bacterial SSU rRNA". It matches the Rfam family "Bacterial small subunit ribosomal RNA", at positions 329 to 793 of the family's 1533-position model. The record is from RNAcentral.